CCACAGCCCAGGCCCUCCCUCCGCCGAGCCGACCUGGCGCCAGCCGGGCGACGGCCGCAGGGGUCCACAAGCCCGGAGACCGAAGGAGCGCUGGGCCACAGGCGCCGGGAGGGAAGACGGGAAAGAACAAAACAAUCUCCACCACUCUCCGCGGGAACACGCCACACUCGGCCCGGUAAUCGCACACCGCUGGGAAACGCAACCCACCAACAAACACACCUACUUCCAGCAGGAGUCAGCCCUCCGAACCCGGAAGUGAAUGGGAGAAGGCACGCAGCAUUCUGGGAAGAUUUAAAGGAGCCGGGUUGGUGUGGCUGGCUGUUACCGGGGCAACCAGAGGGGCUUGGCGGUUAUCCGCGGUUUGGCGCCGUUAGCUGGACAGUCUGAGACGCUCAGAGGCCAUGUGGGAUGAGCGAAGAGGGAAGAAGGGCCCUUUCAGGAGACAGUUGUCCUGUCAGGUUAUCUAGUCGUGCCCUAGGCGGGAGCGCCACCUCUGAGAAUCUGGGUCACGACCCCCUUCUUCUUUCAGCCUUUUGGCCAAAUGAAGUAGCCCAGCGGCUCCUGACUGUCAUUUCUUUACUUUACUUUUCUGCCUCCUCUCAGAAAAUCAACAAAGACAGCAUUGAAGACCUUAAUGUAAAUCAUCUGUAAUGAGUUGAAGAAACAGGGAUGAAGUGGACGCAGCAUGUGAAGACAAUUCUUUCAAGAUGUUUGGCUGUAAAGGAGAAGAAAAAGGGGACACAGGUUCGAGCCCUAAUCCGGGAAGAUCCCACAUCCGCGGAGCAACUAAGCCCGUGCACCACAACUACUGAGCCUACGCUCUACAGCCUGCGAGCCACAACUACUGAGCCCAUGUGCCACAACUACUGAAGCCCUCAUGCCUAGAGCCCGUGAUCUGCAACAAGAGAAGCCACCGCAAUGAGAAGCCCACACACCGCAAUGAAGAGCAGCCCCCGCUCACUGCAACUAGAGAAAGCCCACACGCAGCAACGAAGACCCAACACAGCCCCCCAAAAUAAAUAAAUAAAUAAUUUUUUUAAAAAAGACAAUAUUUGAGGGCUUCCCUGGUGGCACAGUGGUUGAGAGUCCGCCUGCCGAUACAGGGGACACGGGUUCGUGCCCCGGUCUGGGAAGAUCCCACAUGCCGCGGAGCGGCUAGGCCCGUGAGCCAUGGCCACUGAGCCUGCGCGUCCGGAGCCUGUGCUCCGCAAUGGGAGAGGCCACAACAGUGAGAGGCCCGCAUACCGCAAAAAAAAAAAAAAAAAAAUUACUACAUGGGAAAACAACAACAACAAAAACAACGCUCACACACACACACAUAUACCAUAAUUGAAGUUGAAGCAACAACCCAAGAGAAAAUGUUUGCAACAUAUAUGACAAAUGUGUAUGUCAUUAAUACACAAAGAGCUCUUACAUGUCAAUAAAAAGGUUCAACACCCUAACAGGCAAACCUGGUAAAGAACAUGAACAAGCAAACAACACACACACACUCUACAAAGCAUAGGAGAAUAUUUUUAUUCUUGCUAGUUAUGAAAUACAAAAAUCCCAACAAUGAGAUGACAUGUUUUCAUUGGAUUAGCAAAGCUACAAAGGUUGGUGUUGGCAGAGAAGUGAAAGAGGGUCCUGUGGGAAUAUAAGUAUGUUCAGCCUUUCUGAGUGCAAUCUGGCAACAUGUAUCAAAAUGUUAAAUAUGUAUACUUUGAACCACCAGUGAUACUUCUAGGAAUGAAUUCAGAGGUGAUAAUCAGGCAAAUCAGAAAAUAACUUGUUAUGAUAUUAGUUAAAAAUUAGAAACAACUUAAAGUUUUAUAAGUAAGAGACUAAAUAUACUUUUGAGUGAAAAGAGCUAGUUACAAAGCAUCAUGUUCAUUGUGAUCCUAUUUAUAUAAAUAGGUAAGUGCACAUAGAAGUAAUAUUUAACAAAAUGUUAGUAAUGGAAACUCUGGUGGGAUUGCGAGUGACUUUCAAGGUUACGCAAAAGUGAGACGAGCAUGAACUCCUAUGUAUCUCCACUCAGCUUCAGUUGACACCCUUGUUUAUAGUCCAACCUACUCCCUCUCCCACCCCAAUUUUUGAAGUAAAUCCAAAACAUUUUAUCUGUAAAUAUUUUAAUACAGGGACUUCCCUGGUGGCCUAGCAGCUAGGAUUCCAGGCUUUCACUGGUUGGGAACUGAGAUCCUGCAAGCCGUGCGGCGCGGCCAAAAAUAAAUAAAUAUAUAUAUACAUAUAUAUAUAUAUAAAUAUGUACCUCUAAAAGACAAGGAUGCUUUUAAAACAUAAUCUUUUCUUUUUUUUUUUGGCCGCGCUGUGUAUCUUGCAGGAUCUUAGUUCCCUGACCAGGGAUGGAACCCGGGCCCUUGGCAGUGAAAGCACAGAGCCCUAACCCUAACCCUAACCCAGAGCCCUAAAUUCCCUGGACCUCCAGGGAAUUCUCUAAAACAUAAUCUUGAUACCAUUAUCACACUAAAAAGAAAAAAUCCUAACAAUUUCUUCAUAAGAUCAAUUAUAUCCAAUCAGUGUUCCAAUUUUUUAUUUUAUACAUCAUUUUACAGUUAGAUUGAGAUCCAGACAUUCCAAUCGGUUCACAUUUUUCCUAAUCUAUAGAUUCUCCCUCCCUCCUCUUUUUUUUUUUUUCUUGCAAUUUAUUUGGGGAAGUAACUGGGCUGUUUGAGCUUAGGAGUUUUGAGAGUAGGCCUGACCCUAACAUUUACAGACCUGGGACAGUAGUACAAAUGGAGCCCGAAAUACCAUAUAUCUAAGUAUUUAAAUGCUAUAACUCCAGCUAACAGUUAAAUAUGUUCUAUGAUCCUUCCUUGACAAAUAAACCCUCUUAGACCUGGAAGGCCAAGUUAGAAUUUCGAAUUCUCAGACUCCUUAGAGUUCCUCACUGGAUUGUGGUUGUACAGGACAGCUGGCCUGUGGCCCACAGGCUGUCCCAUUCUCUUUCCACCCCUGGCUCCAUCUCCUUCUCAAGGACACCCUGCCCACCCCUCCUGCCCCCACCCCUCCUCCCACCCACAUCUCUAAGCUCAAUCUACAUCUUCUGCAAACAGCUACCCCUGGCUGCACAGUCAAACCUUGGGAAGAUGAACUAAAGAAGAGACCCACGCAGGCCCUGAAAGCAGGCGUAGGUUGUAUAAAGUGAGAAGUUCAGGUUCUAGGGAGCCAGAACAUGGUCUGGAAGGGGCAGUGGCAUAUCCCCUUGGUCCCGUGGACUUCCUGCCCCAUCUGAAAGGACGCAGCUAGAGGAGGGCACGAGUAGGGCCCCUUGCGGGAGUCUAAAGACCAUACUUCAAUAAAGUUCCCCACAAUAAAGCUCUCACAUCCCCAGGAUGUUAUUAAAUAAGUUUCUUUGUCCCCUCUGUUGCCUAUAAAUUGAUACUUAGAUCUAGGAGCUUGAUCAGAUUUCAGAUUCAAUGUUUUUGUCAAGAAUAUUUUGUGAGUUUUGUGUACACCCAUCAGGAGGCACAAAAAAUCUGGUUGUCUUUUUAAAUGGGUUAAAAUAAAGUGCACAAAUCUUAACUGUUCAGUUCGUUUUAGCAAUUGUGUACAUCCAUGUAGUUUACUCCCAAAACAAGAUAUAGAAUAUUUCCAUCACCCCAGAAAGUUACCUCCUGAGUCUUUACAGUCAAUUCCCCUCCACCCACAGAGCCAACCACUUUCUCGCUUCCAUCCCCAUAGACACUUUUGCCUGUUCUUGGACUUUAUGCCAAUGGAAUUAUACAGCAUAUACUCUUUUGUGUCGUUUGUUAACAUAUUACCUUUUAACUUUAUCCAUGUUGUUGAUAUAUCAGUUCACUAGUUCAUCCUUUUUAUUGCUGAGUAUUAUUUCAUUAUAUGAAUGUACCAUAAUUUAUCUUUUCUCCUGUUUAUAGAUAUUAGGGUUGUUUCCAGUGUGGGGCUAUUAUGAAUAAGGCGUCUAUGAACAUUUUUAUACAUAUUGAGUUAUGGGCAUUUCAUUUUUUCUGGGUAAAUACUUAGGAGUGAAAAUGAUUUUUUAACUUUAAAAAAGACUGCCAAACAGUUCUUAAAAGUGGUUGUACCAUUUUACAUUUCUGUCAACAAUGUAUGAGAGUUCCAGUUGCUUCACAUCCUCUCCAACAUUUGGUGUUGGCAAUCUUUUUGGUUUAUAGUUGUCUCGCUUUUUAUAUUGUUAGCAGCUAUUGAUAAUCGUUACCUUGACAUAUUAAUGUAUUUGGGUUUACAAAAUGGUGUUAUUCUAUAAUUCACUUAUUUGCUGAAAUGCUUCUAUAAGGAGAAAAUUUCAAAGACAAAGAAACUUCCCUUCAAAUCUAUUUGGUUCCCCUGAAAUACAGUUCAUAUAGGAAAGGCAGGAUUAACACAAUUCUUUCUAUUUACCAAUUUUCAAAAUUAUGAGUUGGUUCUCUCACAUCUAUCAAAGAUUGACAGUGAGAGGUCUUUUUUUUUAAGUAUCAUUUUAGUAUCAUUAUUUACUUAUUUAAACUCAUGUAUUUAAAUAUUUGAUGUGUAAAAAAGAUAAGUAAAAAAGAAUUAAAUAUU
Molecule: long non-coding RNA, 4521 nt
Organism: Orcinus orca (killer whale)
Lineage: Eukaryota; Metazoa; Chordata; Mammalia; Artiodactyla; Delphinidae
Exons: 4
Source: RefSeq, a predicted model, not a curated record